AGGCUUACCAAGAGCACUUUCACUGUUACAAGUGGAAGCCGCACAAAUAAACACCAAGGGAGACAGGGAGAUCCAGUGUGCCACAUCUAGCCACUAUGCCUGCACCUAUCUUUCAAGAUCUUCUUUAAAAAGGAGUCAUUUCCUAUGGGACUGUUAGAAACAGACUGCAGAACCAGAAUAACUCUUGGCACCAGUAUCUUGGCAAUCUUUCUUCGGACUACCUACAUGAAUAUGUGGAAAUAUUAUACGCCCGUUUUUGUCUGGAAAACUGCAUGGUACCAUUGCAGAAAACAAAUAAAUAACUUUUAAAUAAUCAGUAAAAUUGCCUGCAGUAUAGCCACAACAAGUGGAAGGGAUUACUAUGUUCGCACUGAAAAGGAAGACACAAAGUAUAUCAGUUUCAUGGUUAUUAACAACAUAGAGAUUUCAAUAUAAAGUUAAUCGACUGUUGAACACCUCAUGUUUUGUAACAAAUCCAGCCACAGUUCAAGGACAGGAGUGAGUCACCAUUAAUCUAAAUGAAUCCAGGUCCUAUACUUAUGAAAAGUAGAAGAAUUACAGAGGGUGGCCUGGUUAACAAAGAUGCAGAAUAUUUCCACUGUGGUCUCUACGAAGAAGUUCUAAAAUUGUCUGUAAGUUUUCCAGUGUUGUUGUUGUUGCUGUUGUUGUUCUGUUUUGUUUUUCAUUUUUUCUUUUAUUGGUGCUAGUUAGUUCCAAAUUCCUCCCUUAUUUUCCUCUUUACGGGUGUGGACACUUUUACUUUUUAUGUCUACAUUAACAUGACCUCAGCCUGACAGUACAUUAUGGGAAGCUGGAAUAUUUAUUGGCAGAAGAGAACCUCUUGGAAAAAGAGCUGGGUAGUGGUAGUUGGAGAAUGAGUCAGUGUCUGGAGUCCAGCUGUGCAUUCCGCACAAGCCUGACUGUAGCUGAGCUACUCAGAUCUGUUCAACUGCUUGAAACUGGUUUUUAAAGAAAGGAAUAGAUUUCAUGUAUCCUGAAUACAUUUUUGGCUAAGAACAC
Molecule: long non-coding RNA, 1020 nt
Filed under: Numida meleagris (helmeted guineafowl)
Lineage: Eukaryota; Metazoa; Chordata; Aves; Galliformes; Numididae
Description: lncRNA (ENSNMEG00000015056.1)
Source: RNAcentral